Molecule: non-coding RNA, 384 nt
Organism: Vicia faba (fava bean)
Lineage: Eukaryota; Viridiplantae; Streptophyta; Magnoliopsida; Fabales; Fabaceae
Source: the annotation of a GenBank genome assembly
AUGAUUUUCAUAAACCUGGCACAUACACAUACACAAAAGCCUUGUUCACCGUACAACUUUUACAACCCAAUUUCGUCACCUGUAUCAACUUUUGUACAUAGCUUCCAAAACUCAAUUCACAUAUUUCACCUUUUUUACGUGUACCAUUUUGCAGCAAACUUCGUCUCUAAACUUGCACCAAUUUUUAUCCAUUACCUCACACAAGUAUCAUCAUCACCUUCAACUUUGUUUCAAUACAAAACCAUCCCCAACAUCCAAAACCAUAAAACUCAUAAACCAAUUCACAGACCUAUUAAGGAAAUAUUCCAACAACAGCCUUCACUAUCACAACCAAACAUCAACCAAUGUUUAAUUAAUCAGACAAAAUCAAUCAACAAACACUAA